AGCAACUCCCUAGUUAUGCUUCUCCCCAGGCUCUGACAUUCAGUGCUUGGAGCUGCAGGAAAGAUUUGCGAACCAGCUUUUCGUGCCUGAGCAGCUGUGCACCUUUGAAGAGUGGAUCUGGGGGCCCAUUUUUUGUGGCUAUGGAAGAGGAUAACCUUCUGAUCACCAGUAACCAACCAGGUAGGAAGAUCCUUGUCGCCUGUAGUUCCAAAAAGCCUCUAAUUCAAAGGAAAGAGCCGAAAGCGUCUAUUGUACUUGAAGUAUUCAUUUUGGGCCACUGGUUAAGAUUAAAAAAGGAAAACAAUGUAGAAGGGUUUGGCUACUGAAAACCAAAGAGAUAGGAAGGAAGGAACUCCAGUUGGAGACAUUUGAUGUAGUUAACAGAUAACUCUCCAGAACAGCUUUCUCGCUCUCAUCCCUUCUGAUUCUCCCCAGAUUAGUUCAAACUUACUUUUGUGCUAAUCAUUUCUCGGCCUGUUUAUCUUGCAUUAAAAAAUUAACAGAGAAUAGUUUACUGCAUGACUUGCUAACAACUGCAAGAAAUGGCACACAAAGCUGCCAGGCUGAAUUCUGAGCCCUUGUGCAAGAUCUUGCUUUGGAUCUAGGCACCUAAGUUUUCAAAAGUUUUUAAAAAGAAUGAUUAUUCCCACCCCUCUAAAGUCAAUAUUUUGUUCCUGCCCCUUUUCCAUGACCUGAGUAUAUAUUUGCUCUCCGGCUGUUUCCAAAUGAAGCAGAUAAAGCCCGCAAAGGCUUGUAUUUUGUCAGACAUUAGUAAACAGGGAUCUUCUUUCCACACCAUCAAAUCCCGUUUGCCUUUUGCCUGAAUUCAUGUCUUAAAUGAUUACAGAGCAGUUCCCCCCCUUCCCCCACGUGUUAAUAACCACCCCUGUGGAAUUCAGCUGAAUCAGAAGGAUGAAGCACAUUUAUGGAUUACUAGCCAGCUGGAAGAAAAGGAAAAAGCAGCAGAUAUAGGUAUCAGGGGGGUACAUCCAUGCUGCAGCUCAGAAAGGGGUCAGGUAUGCAACUGGUGCAGAACCCAGGUAAACAGUUCAGGCAAACAGAGGCUUCAACUGCACUGGUUUUUCACAUGACAGACAAGCAGCGCCAGCCCAGCAGAACAAGUUCACUCACCUCAGGCAGCUGCUCUUCAGUGUUAUGAAAGGGCAGCAAAUCGUUAGUUGUUGAAUUCAUUUUAUUGCGUUUUUACUCCCAGGGUGCUAAAACAACUUGAUUAGCAUUGGGUAACAUGCACCAUGACUAUGACACUUCCUGCUUUGUUCCCGGCAGCAAAAUAUAUUUGGCUUGUCUUACAGAUAUGAGCCACUGCAAGGCCAGUGUAGACUCCUCUACAAUUUUUAUGCCUGGCUUCCAAAUGCUAGUGAAAAUGCAUGUAGAAAAUAUAGGUCCACCUUUCCUGGUGAUGUUCUGGGUUAGCACUCCCAAAGCUGAACCAAGAACUCGGGAAUCUGUUUUACUGAUGUGCCUAAAAUCAGAGAGCACACACAGGAGGUCCCUUUGCACACACACCCAAAUAUUUGAGGGGUGUGGGGGGCCCCAAAUUUCAUGGUCAUUGCCAUUCAAAUGGUGUGUGCGUGCCAUGUUAUGCGAUCGAUUAUGUGGGGCGGGGCUUACCUGCCCUCCCCCAGUUUUAUUAAAGUUGGCACCCCUGCACACACACACACACACACACACACACACACACACACACCCCACCAAUGCAUUCCCUGCAUAGACCUUCCUCGGUCAGAAACAAGCAAGGCUGCCAACUUUUUAUCUAGCAGGGCUCCUGUGACUAAAACAACUGCAUGACAAGCAGGAAAUCAGCAAGCAAAGCUUUCCCUUUCACUGCAGGGUUGCCUCCAGACUGUCAGCAUUUUGCAGGAGGGAGUGAAAUGAAUACUGGCAAUGUAGGUUUGCACAAUUCAAGUAGAUUCAAUCUGUCGCCCUAGUGCAACAAAUCCCAUUAGAAAUAAAUGAUGAGAAAUGAUGGGGAUAUGCACUGAAAAAAUUGGGAGGGGAGAAUCAAUGAUUAAUAAGUCAGGAUGCAUGUUCAUUGUCAAAUAACCUCCCUGCAAACAAACAAAUCAGAAUGAAUGCUCAAGAAAGACCGGAAAUAAUCUAACCUCUGCAUAAGCUUUGUGCAAGCAAAUCAGGAUUGAAUGCUCACUAAAUAGGUCAUCUGGAGGAACCCUGCUAGAAAAAAGCUUCACCAAGCAAAUGUUGUGCUUGUCAUGUAGUUGUUGAAGAGCAGCCCUGCUAGAUAAAAAAAAAAGAAAACAGCUGGCAGCCAUGAGAUGGAAUUCCCCUCCCCUUCUACACUCCAUUUCAAUGCAAGGUCAACUCGAAAAAGUAAGGAAAUCUUUAAGUGUAAAUGCAUUUCUGAUACAUGGGACAUUAGUUGGUUGCUGGAAACUUGUGGGGAAUCCACAGUCAAUUAUCCUGACGUGGAAUUGGAUUUGCAUAGCCAUUUGACUACGUACACAAACAGCAAAAUCAUACUUUACUCAUACGGCCAUUUUCUAUGGGAAGGAUGAAAUCACUAUUCACAGUCAGCCCCGACAGUUGUGUUGCUGCUGCUUAGCAGGAGGGAGAGUGGAGAGUUCAGUGUGGUGCAAAUGCAGUGUUCCUGCUGGUGUGUUUUCACUAUGCUGACCUCCCACUAAGCGGCGACUCAACUGUCAGGAUGUCAAGUGAGCAUCUGCCACAGAGUGUGGCGGCUAUGGGGGCUUCCAUGCUGUUUCUAGCUGGGAUUCUGAUGCAAAAUUAGCAUUUGCUCUAUUUGUUCUUUAGAUGUCUGUUUGCACUUUACCUGCUCUGUUUUUAUGGUGAUAAACAUUACAAAAGACAUGGUAAAUCUACAAUGCUCAUUUCAUCCAAAAGAACUCUCUACUUGAGGAAGAUGAAUAUUUUGGAAGUUUAAGGCACGGCCACGUGCAUCAUCUAACUACAAUAACUACAGCAACCCUAUAAGGCAGGAGUGAGGAGCCUGUUUGGCUUGGUGGAUCAGAUCUUUAUCUCGCCGUCCACACUGAUGACGUCAGGCGAUUGAUAGGUAGGCUCACCUGUCAAAGUAGACCCACGGGGUGGAGGGAGGGACCUGAUUUGCCAGUUUGUUCCACACAGGGAACAUGCUGGGAAAGCAGCUCCAACAGGAUCAAACUCUUGGCUUGUCAGCUGAUGAAUGAAGACUUCCACCCUGCUUCUGCAGGUGCAGGGUUGCCGUAUUUCAAAAAGUAAAAACCAAGACACCCCAAAAGUUGACUUUCCUAAGUUCCAGGACAAAGCACCACCAAUUCCACCUUUGAAAUCCCAGUAACGUCCAGAAAAAUCUGGGCGUAUGGCAGCCCAAUGCAGAUGGCUGUUUUGCCAGCACCAAGUGGAAGGUGCAUCAUUCUAUUAUUACCCUGUAUUUUAGAUGGAGGUGAGAGAGACCGGCUUGAUGAAGGCUGCAGAGCAUAUCCGCUCCCCCCCCCCCCCAACAUUUCAAGAGGGAAAAUUGGAGCAACACACCAACACUGUCGCUCACCCACUUCCUCCCCUCCCUCCUCCCUCCAAUCGUUGUCCUCUGGCCUUCAGUGUUGCCGCCUCAGAAGAUGCUGUGCUGGUCCGCACAGCCUAGGGGAAGACACAGCCACCGCCUCUGCUGCUGGCACCAGCUUCCAAAAGUGCCGCAAAAGAAGGAGGAAGAAAAGUAGAAGGGGCAAGUUUAUUCCCGCCCCCCCGCCCGCUUUUUUCAGUGUUAACUAACUGACACGAGCCACAGUGUGGAACCAAAAGCCACCUGUCUUUUGGCCCUGCGUUCUGGCGUGGCCAGAGGACAGGAGCCAAAACAGGACAUCCCUGGAUUGGAAUUAGAAGCUGCUAGGGUGGCUUUUAUAAAUUUGGAAUGUUCCACUUGGAGGGCAUGGCAUAGUGAGUUCAUGGCAAACGAGAGAUUUGAACCUGACACUUUCCAACGCCAGCUCUCGCCUCAGUUGUAUUAAGGCUUGAAUAAAUGAAAAUCCUUGGGUAAAUUAAAUUAAACAUCACCCAUCUUCUUCAAAUACGUGAAAAUGGUGUUGUGGUAAGGAGAGAUCACACUGAACCAAUUAAUCAGUUUGGUAAUUGGCCUGGGCAGCGUAUUCAGGAAUGGAGCACUGACUCCUUGUGUGAUAGUGAUUUCCCCCCACCCCCACCGUUCAGGUCAUAUGACUGAUCACUAUCCUCUGACAUAGUUGUUUGUUCCAGUGUUGAGUUCCUGUGCAUUAUCUGCUGAUCUAGCCUUGGCUGUCUAGACCAAUUCUUUCUAGGAGAUUCCUGUUUACCUGAAGAGAUGUGGUGUUUGCAUCUCUUAUAAACAGGUGACCAAGGAAGUGUCAGUGCUACCACAAUGACCUUAGCACUGUUUCUUGCAGAGGUUACAAUGGCAUUGCAAACUUAAACCAGUUUUAUGCCUCUUUGACCAUCACUGUUUGCUGAAAGUAGGGUUGCCAACUUGUGAUUUCAUCCUCGUUUUCUAAAAUACUGAUAAUGACUUCUCUGGGCUCCUUCAGAGCACAAUACAAAUUGAAAUAUUAAUAACAGUAAUAAUGUCUGCAGGGUCUGGGUUUCUGUAAAUAGUUUUCUCAUUUUGAUGACAGUCUGGUUUUUUCCUUAGAGACCAUAAUGCUCAGCUGCCAUUGGUUAUAACUUAAAAAAAAUUCAUGCACAGAAAGACCAAGAAUAAUUUUAGAUUUUAGCUGAAAGUCAUGUGUGGAGAACCUGAAUUCUGCCACCAAAUAUACAGCCUUCCCCAUAAAUUUGAUUUAUAGGCCUUUCAUAAAUCUCAUCUGAAUCCUUUCUUUCUUGAACUGUUCUGUUUGGAAGUUCAUAUAAACACACAAAAGAUGCCCUUUUGGCUGUUCAUGACAUUAUCAGAAUCAACCUACGAAAGGGAACUAAAACAUCCUCAAAGUGCUGGAUGUAAUCAAAGGCCCAGUAAUAAACAAACACUACCUGAGAAAGGAGAAAGAAUGGGAAGUGUCAACCUUGAAAAAUAUAGGCUCCAUUCACACACCACUGUAAGCCAUUGUUAAUUCUUAAUGGUUUAUCAUGGAAAUGCACAGUACUGUUUUCUAGAAAAAGAUGUGCCGGAACUCACCAUGAACACCUCCCUUGUUCUCUUACAAUGGCAAUGGCCCCACCUGAGAGCUGCUGGAACUGAGUUCCACUGAUUUCCAGCUGAAAAAAAAGCCCUGGAAAUGCAGAUGGCUUCUGAUCUCCUCGCCUUUAGUCAGCAGAGCAACAAACCACAACUGAUGACUUAGCAUUUCAUGUGAACCAGAGACUGUGCUUUGCUUUACUCAGACAAACCAUGAUCAGGAAGCCAAGAUCAAACAUUGGCUUUGCAUCAUGGUUUGCUUGCAGCGAAACAAACCACAACCCAUGGUUUAGUCAUAACGGUAUUCAGGAGUGGGGCAUUGUUCAUGCUGCUUAGAGGGAGGUGAACAAUGUGGGAGCCAUCCUUGGUUCUAUGGGAAACCAUCAACUAUGGUUUACUGCAGGGCAGGAGAAGGUCACCUAGUGGGGCUGAGCUUACAGCCUCCUAGCAGCAGCAGUAGCAUUGCUGUCAUUUCUCAGCAGGAGUGAGGCAGCAGCAAAGUUGGGGCUCCACUGGCAGGAGUUCCAGAUUGGCUCCACCGGAGCAUUGAAGAGCCCCCAACAUCACUGCCUCCUUGGUGCCUCCUCUCCCAGUAAUCAGCAGCAAUGCUGCUGCUGGGAGGUUACUGCUGCAGAUUCACCCCACUGGGGAAGCAGCUCUUGCACUGGGGUAGCCAACAUGGUGCCUUCCACAUAUUUUGGAAUUGAACCCCCAUCAUCCCGUCCUGGGAUGUUGCCUGGUCUCCUUUGUACUGCCCAGGACUCCUGGGAAGAAGGGCAGGAUAGAGAUCUAAUAAGAUGAAUCUCAAAUCCUUGGCCAUGCUACCUGGGGCUGAUGGAAGUUGUGGUCCACAUUGGCUAUCCCUGGUUUACCAUGAGAUAAGGUGGUCGCUGUGAGCAAGCUGAGUAGCAAACCAUCUUUUACAAUGGAUACACCUUUUCAACACUGCCUUCCAAACAGCUUAUUAAUGCUCCAUUACAGAAUUUUGUAAUAAUGAUUACAGAAGUAUCUUUGAUAUGGUUACCUUCUUGCUCAGUUACAAGAACAUUUAAAUAUUCUCUGGUGGCAUGUAAAUAAUAAUACUCCUGGUUCCCCCCCCCCCACUGAAAAAGUGAAACUGCCAGACUGAUUGCAGCUAAUGUCACCCAAACCCUUAUUUCCAAGGACAAAAGGCUAAUGUUGAAAUCCCUGUGUUCAGAUAUUUCAUCCAAGCAAUUCAUUCCUCUCUUAGCCUUUCCACCCAAUAAAGUUGGGGUAGGGGAAAAGAGGAAGGGGAUUUGAGGGGUCGUGGAGUGUGGACAGAUACAGUGUAGGUUAGGCCACAGAAAAACAGAGGAUCAAGUACAGGCACCCCAAAAAACACCCAAUACACCCCACAAAAAAGGCAGCUCCACAGACUGAUAAAAUUCCCAAUGCAUUUCAACAGAACCCUUUGUCAACAGAAAAUUUCUGUAUAAACAAGAACAAAACGAUGCUUCCCGGUUUUGGGGGAAAUGGCCGUGGCUUAUUUCCAAUCCAAAUCUGACAGGAGCCAAGUUGUGUGCCGUGGGCAGGAGUCACCCCUCACUAACUGCAAUGCAUCUGUAAAAGGGCCAGUGUGGUUACAAAUCAUUUUGGAACUCUAUGAAAUUGUUAGCCCUGGGCCGAAGUAAGCCUGCGGGACUUCAACCGUCAUUAACCUCCAAUGAGGAAGGAAGGAAAUAAUUAUAUGUUUAUUUCACUGAAGACAGCCCCUUCCUCUGAAGCAUUGGCAUAUGCUGUGAAGUUGUUUAAUCUACUUAUUUUUCCGGUUUUCUUUCCAGGGUUGCAUGGAGGCUGGGAUGGUAAAUUAAAAUCUUCUACCUCUUCUAAUUAAUCAUGCAGGUGUGAAUGAGCUCCCCAAACAACUUGCAAGAAAAAAAGCAAAAGCCCAUGUAACCAAAAGCUGCCGAGCCAUCUUGAAUGAAAGAUCAUGUUAGUAGCAUAGUAUUUUGAUCAUUCACCACUUGUUUCUCCCAGAAACCAUCCUUAGCUAAUGCCCCGUUCUGCCAUAAAAUAAUUAAAUUAUAUUACAACCAUAAAGUGCAUAAUUUAAGUCAACCAAGCAUUUCAACAAAUUGGAAUAUGGUGGCAAGCUGAAGCCAUGAACCUUUAUAAAUCAAUCAUCAACUGAUAAACACAGCAAUGAUUAACUCCCAGAACUGGUGUCCCCAAAGUUGGUUUAUUGAAAACAUGCUGAGGGCGGAUGAUAUUGGGUAAGUUAAUUGCGGGAGGGGGAACGUUGGCGGGGCAUAAACCUAGCAUGCGUUUGACGUGAUCUGGCAGGGGGGGAAAGCCUAGUGUGAACUGUCCAGAGAUCUCCAGUGUUUUUCCUUCUUCUUGCAUGAGAAUAGUGGCUAUUAUUUGGCAUCUCUUACACAGACUUCCCUGACAUUAAUCAGCAGUGCGGAAGCUACAACAUCAGUUCCUUCCUGUACAACUAGAGUGCCAUCAAAACCUCUGGACCACGUGGGAAGUGCAACUCCAAAAACUGGGGCACCCAGUUUCCCAUAGGAAACCGACUCCCUCAUGGUGGUCUGGAGCUUCUAAACAGUGUGGGAAGCAGUCGUGCCGUUGUAGUGGCUCCCUCUACCCUCAGGGAAUUGCUGUACGGUACUCAGUGGUAGAGCAUCUCAAAUUCAAUUAGAGCGUGGUGCUGAUAAUGCCAAAGUUGUAGGUUCAGUCCCUGUAUGGGACAGCUGUAUAUUCCUGCAUUGCAGGGGGUUGGACUAAAUAAUCCUCAGGGUCCCUUACAACUCUGCAAUCCUAUUAUUCUACUUGGAACACCAGCACAACAGGCAGAGGUUUAGGUUCAGCUAGACUUAUUACCCCUGGCGUCUCUGUUUUCAAACUGCAGGAAUGAAACAUAAGAGAUUAUUUAAAUGUGUAGUCUGAAGCAACUAUACCAUACGAAUAUUCUAAAUGUGUUUCUCUUCCCUUAGGGCAUGCCAGCACAUGAUUCAUUCUGAGGAUGAUGUGCUAGAAUGAAAUCAUCACACUCUGUAGGUAUGAAAGGUAAUUAUUACCAGAUUGGUACAGGAUGCGCAACUGAUGUAGGCCACAGAAUUUGGAUCCUGAGUCAUAAGAGCAAAGGAUUACCUGAUCUUUCUAGGGAUGUGCCCUGUAUUUUUGGAUUGUACGCUAUACCAAAAGCACUAAAGAGCAGGAAGGCAUCAACAAGAGAUAUGUCAUGGAAUAGGGCCAUGGAAAGGGAAUCCAUUUAAAGAGACAGCAACAUAGGGUUUUUGUUAUUUAAAUGAAGGCUCUGGUUCAAAAUUUGCAAUAUUUGGGGUGCAUGGGUGGAUAACAUGUUUGCCCUGAGGACUCACUCAUGAAGCCUUUUGGCAGCCUUGCACAAAAUGGGAAUACCUCUUACAGAAGAGGUAAGUUUAGAUCUACUCCCAUGUGGUUUGGGUUCUCGUCCCCCUCAACUGAAACUUUCUAAAAGCUGAGAAUUCAGCCACAUCCAUUAUACAAGCAGUGGUAGCUUAAUAACUCUAGGGCAAAGAGAAGAUGCUUGUUUCAGUGAGCAGUUCCAAGGGGGUUCUGGGAGAUAGAGACAAAAUGGGUGAGGAGCUUCUCCACAGUUCCAGGAACCUCAAACAUCUGGAAGAAUCUGAAGGCCAAAUGGGUUACUGUGAUAUGUUGGCUUCAGAGAAUGUUUGCCCAGAAAUUACCGGACAAUAAAGGAGCAAAGAAAACUUCCUGCUAAUCAGGUUUGAAAACUCAAGAGUACUAAUCCUCACAAAAAAGCACCAGGCUUGACUCUUCUUUGAAAAGUUUAAAGCUGUUAACAUGUUUUCAAAGACAAUGAAUCUGGGUGCUGUUUUCUCCUAUGGGGAGGGGGCUUUGAGAGGGAACCCCUCUGGGUGUUUCCACAAGUAGCAUUAAAAUUCAAAACAUUCCCAUGCAUUAAAUAUUUGGGUGCAUGUGUGAAUGUUGCUGACGUGGGUGGAGAAUAAAUUUUAAAACUGAAGGUACAUUCUAACCAAUCAAAUUUUUACUUUCACAUUUCAGAUUCUGGGAGCUUUUCAGUGACACGCACGGAAGUUAGAUGUACAACUUAAGGCAACCAUUUGCGCAAUUUGCUUGGUUAAACUCUGGCAACACUUGAAAGAGGGAAAAACACCCAGUAAUACUUUUUCAUCCCCAAACAGGCUGAUGGUCAAAAUUAAAGUCCUAGUAGGACCCAGUACCUGGUGUUUCCUGAAGGAAAGCAUAGCCAUUCAUGUUCCAGAAGGACCUGAUGGUUCUCCAAAAAGAGAGAGAGAGAGAGAGCUAGAGGAGCCUCACACCCAGAGGCACAGGGGUUCUGAGCAGGGAGCCAUGUUCUGUCUGACUAAGCAAAAGAGAAGCCAGCUGGAGUGUGGGCUGCAGGGCUAAGAUAAUCCCCUUAAUGCCAGUCACAAUGAGAUUUGAUUGGAGGCAGGAGUUCAUGCUGUGGAGUUUAAGGAGUGCUGCUGAGUGCUGGAACAGGUUUCGUAAGGUAGCCCCAAGAGCUGUGCUACUGUGGCCAUGUCCCAUGACCAUCCUGUGCUGAACAGACCACGUUUCCAAAGUGGCUGCUGCUGAAUAUGCACUCGCGUCUGCAUGUGAUUCGUCUGGAGUCAAAGAGUUUAAAUGUAAUAAAUUCAUAGCAUGUCUGCAGCACUUUAUCUCAGAGAACAUCCACACCAAAUGUUUAAAGCACAGGGUUUCUCCCAAAGAAUCUUGGGAACUGUAGUCUGUUAAGGGUGCUGGAAAGGUUAGCUCUGUGAGAGGUAAACUUCAGUUCCUGGGAUUCUUGCGGGGGGAGGCAUGUGAUUUAAAUGUCUGGAGUGGAUGUGGCCAGUUAUGUUUACAUACCCUCCAAAAUUUCUCUGAUGGAACUAGGGAUGUCCUAUUCAACAAAAACAAGAAGUUUAUUAUUUAUACCCCACCCAUCUGACUUGGUUGCUCCAGCCACUCUGGGCAGUUUCCAAUAUAUAUAAAAACAUUAAACAUUUUUUAAAAUAACUUCCCUAUACAGGGCUGCCUUCAAAUGUCUUCUGAAGGUUGUAUAGUUACUUAUCUGCUUGGCUCAGGGGUUGCAUAACGCCAUACCCUCCAACCUUUCUCCAAUGACAAUAGGGACAUCCUAAGGAAAAGCGGGAUAUUCUGGGAUCAAAUCAGAAACCAGGAUGGCUUCUGUAAAUCUGGGACUGGAAAAUAGGGACACGUGGAAGGUCUGAUACUGCUGUUUGCAUGUUCAGUAGGUGUGCAAAGCCACUCUGUUGUUUGCACAUAAAGGCUUCUCACAUGCUGGCAGAAUGAGCCGCAGGUGGGGGAGCUAGACUGUGCAGCUGAAUUGCAUUGAUGCAAAAGGAUGCUCUGUUGUGAAAAUGGCUUCACUGGUGUGUAUUUUAAGGGCUGGGCUGAUUUCAAACCAGCCCUUUAUCCACAUCCCUAGGGUUCCCCAGGGCCCACUGCAACCACACUGUAUAUUAUUAUUCCUAGUUUCCCAUCCCAAAUGCUUUUUGACAAGGGGAAGAAUUUGACUUGCGUCUCUCGGGCAUCAGCACUUCCAGUUUUUGAUGAUAUACAACAAUACCGAGAGCAGAUAAGGCAGUUCCUUUCUCGCUUACUGGAAAGCUUUCUGCUGGCAUGGAGAUGGAGAUAUGCCACCCAAGCCAAACACUUCUUUGCAGGUGUACAUGCAGGUGGGGGUGCCAUGGAGGUUUUUAAGCAAAGGCUGGAUGGCCAUCAGCCAUGGAUGCUUUAGUUUAGUUGCUAUUCCUGCAUUGCAGGGGGUUGGACUAGAUGACCUAUGGGGUUCCUUCCAACUCUACAAUUUCUUGAUUCUAUGAACCCUCUUUUUGCACAAGCAAGCUGCAGUCUGCAGAAAGGGGAAAUGAUUGCUGUUGGAGUAUAAUGAUUUGGAAAUGAAUAAAAUGUGGCUUCUGUGCAACGGGGAUGAAUUGAUACUCCAGAAGGUGUGAAAAAGGAAUUAUUCGACUGAAGACACCAACAGUGCAAACUUAUGUGCACCUAGUCAAAAGUCAAUCCAGUUGAGUUCAAUGGGGCAUGCUCCCAGCAGGUAUAUGGGUCUAUGACAGCAGCCCAACACCACAGUUCUUUAAAUCCCUAUUCAACAGUAAAUCUCACUGAAUUCAGUGGGGCUGCUCCCAGGUAGAUAUAUGCACAUUCUAUGAAGCCACAUUGCACUAAAUGGGACUUACUUCCCAGCAGGCAUGCAUAGGAUUUUGCCGUAAGGCACACUUACCCAGGAGUAAGCCCUAUUAAACACACUCAACUCACUUACAAAGAGGUAAAUGCCACUGACCACAACGUGGCUUCCUUCUGAGUAAACACAUUUAGAAUUGCAGACAGAAAACUCUUCUGAUUCCAGUAUGAGCUACGUAACUAUGCAAAUGCAAUUACUUUAUUAAAUUUAGAAUUACUAUUUUGCAGUUACCCAUGAGUGUGCUUUAUUGUAUUGUGAUUUUAUGUUUUACUGUUGCAGAAAGAUGGGAUAGACAUUUUAAUAAAUAAGGAGUGCAGAAAUCCAUGGAUAUUAGUAGGCAUGGUCCUUGCCAGAUGUUCGCAAACAUUCAUUUAACGUGCUUAUUGGCAGGAAUAUGUUUUAAGUUAAAUGCUGCUAAAAAGCAGCUGCUAGGGUUCCUCUCUCAGUUUCCUUUUGUUGACUUCUCAUCGCCCCCUAGUGACAAGUCAUUGAAUCCAAGUAACUUUCCCUUUUCCAUGAAAGGCGACUUCACAAUGCAGGUACAGUACAGAGCCAUCCCACUGUUGCCUCUUAUGAUAAACUCAGGGGUGUACAAAAUAUGCACAAAGCAUGUCAGAUGCGAAGAUGGUCUGCAAGCAUGUGAGACUCAAUAUAGCCCUGAGUCUUUCCUGCUUGUUGCUCACAUUUCAAUGGCGAACAUAGCAGGUUUUUUAAAAGUAAAUCCUUAAUAGCAUGUGUGUUAUAAGUGUGUGGUUUUUUUCCACCGGAUGCCCAUGCACAGAAAGUAUAAACAAGCUGCUCUCAAGUCCUACUUAUUAGUGUUAGAAAGCAGUCAUGAAUCUCUGUUGUAUCACAUUUGCAACUGUAAAGCCUCUUACACUCGUCUUGAGCUGCUGUGAUGUCAUGGAAUGUUCACAAGUAUUUAAAGUGCUCAGGAAACAAUCUAUUGGAAUAUUCAUUGUCCAUUUUGAGGAAGGAAAGGGAAUGCCAGUUUUGUCUGGAGAGAUUAUUUGUGGGCCAUGAGGAGGAUAGCAAAGAGCCCCCAGACAGUAAGGAAUCUAAAAAGUCAUUGAGUGGUGCUGAAUUUUACAUCUACAUUUUAACUUGCCAGCCAAUUCUUUGGCUACAGACUGGUACAACAUAUUCAGUACUGCUGUUAAUUAAGUUUAGUUCUUUUCUGUGAGCGCAGGAGGCUGCCAGUGCCCUUUUUCACAUGUAACUCCAAGCCAAAGCAUGGCUCAGCGAAUGUUCAGGCUCCCACAGAGGCGAUUGUGGCUGCUUUACUCCUCCUCUGCUUCUGCACUGAACUCAGCCAUGCUUUGGCUUAGCGUGUUGUCUGAACUUGGCUCUCAGACAAACCACAAACUAUAAGCCAGGGGUAGGCAACCUAAGGCACAUAGGCCACAAGCGGCCCACAGGGGUCGUUUAACCAGCCCACAAGCCACCCCUGAACCGAGCCGCCCACUCAGUGAGUCCCCGCGCGCUCCACUAAACUGGCGCAGUGUGGCGUGGGGACUCGCUUCUGCAGACGCCGGAAAUCGCGGGUGCGCGCACUCACGCGUGUGAGCAAUCUCACCCACUGAGGCAGUGGCGUAGCGUGGGUUGUCAGCACCCGGGGCAAGGCAAGUAAUUUGCGCCCCCUAACCCAUGGAUUUUAGUAGGGGCAGAAAGCUGCGAGUGCGAGCGCCCCCCCCAGAUGUUGCAGCCGGCCCCCCCUGCACCCCCCACGCUACGCCACUGCACUGAGGGAUCUACACCGGAGUGAACCAGUCCAGGCGAGGUAAACCUUGCCGACCCCUGCUAUAAGUGAUAAGACAUGCCUUGUUUAUGGCUUGCGGUUUGUCUGGCGAGAGUUAAACCACAAACCCGGGUUCAGAUGCCAAACCAUGGCUUCACUCAGUGCAGCACAACAGCAGAGCCACUAGAGAGGAGCGAAACAACCAUCAUUUCCUCUCUGGGAAUCCACAUGUUUGCUCAUUCACAUUAAGCUAUGGUUUGGAUUCGUGUUACCCCUAAACUGGGCCAAAUAAUGUCAACUCUGCCUGAUAGUGACACAUGGAUUUUGAAAUAAGUUAGAACAGAUCUACUUGCCUUAAUCUUAAAUGAUCACCAAUAUUGAAAAGGUGAGCAGAUACAACUGCUCUCAAAUCACCCUGGGAAUAAUGUCUUUUCCUACACAGGUGACUGCUUUUUCCUGUAUAUAUUUUUUUACAGCUGUGAUCUCUCUCUCUCUCUCUCUCUCUCUCUCUCUCUCUCUCUUGGUGUACCGUCUGCUGUUAUGACUCUCAAACGCUCAAGAGAAUCAAUGCCGUCACCAACAAAGCCAGCCCCACCUAUGAGGCAGGGUGAGGUAGCCGCCUCAUGAGGUGGAAGCUUAAAGGGGAGUGCUCCUGCGGGAGCCCCAUCUGCCCUGCCAGCAGAGAAGUGGAAGAUAGCACUGGAUGGCUCCAUCAUUGGUGCUGCUCUGCAGGCACCACUGCACAACCCAGGUAAGGAGGACUGCAGAAGGGCUGCAUGUUCCCAUGUUGGCAGAACAGGACACACUGCACCCUGUUCACCAAGAAAGGAGAAGUUCAGGUUUGACCUGAACUUAACCUGGUGAAACUUCCAUCAUCAUCAUCAUCAUCAUCAUCAUUAUGGCCUUUGUCUAAAGAUCUCAGGGCAGUGUUCAACACAUUACGAAACAUCCAUAAUAAAAACCUGUCCAUUAGUCUGGAGUCCCAAUGGAUAAUGGAGGUUUAAAAGGUAAAGGUAAAGGGACCCCUGACCAUUAGGUCCAGUCGUGACCGACUCUGGGGUUGCGGCGCUCAUCUCACUUUAUUGGCCAAGGGAGCUGGCGUACAGUUUCCGGGUCAUGUGGCCAGCAUGACUAAGCAGCUUCUGACGAACCAGAGCAGCGCACGGAAACGCCGUUUACCUUCCCGCCGGAGCGGUACCUAUUUAUCUACUUGCACUUUGACGUGCUUUAGAACUGCUAGGUUGGCAGGAGCUGGGCCUGAACAACGGGAGCUCACCCUGUCAUGGGGAUUCAAACCGCCAAACUUCUGAUCGGCAAGUCCUAGGCUCUGUGGUUUAACCCACAGUGCCACCCGUAUCCCUAUUGGAGGUUUACUGCUCUGAAAAAAAUUAUUCCCCCAACAAGCGGAAGUAAAAUCAAUUAUGCAAACACACACACAACAACAACAACAACCCGCAAAUAAGCUGAACACCUCAUUUAGAUCACAGAGAUGGGCUUUUCUUGGUAAAGAAUUUUGGGUUUCCCUCGCCACACAUCACUGAAUAGGUCCAAACUGCCAUUUUCUCUUACAUCCUCUGCACCCCAAUUCAGGAAAGCAGUUUUGAAAACGCACCAAGGAAGAAAGGGGAUUUACGGACCAUGAGACUAUUCACCUCAGGGUCAUGGGUUCGAGUUCCACGUCGGGCAAAAGAUUCCUGCAUUGUAGGGAGCUGGACUAGAUGACCCUCGUGUUCCCUUCCAACUCUGCAAUUCUAUGAUUCUAUGGGACAUCAUUCCUCCUCUUUAAUUGGCCUUGCCUUUUCAAAGUGUAUUCCAACUGACAACCACUGCCAUGGAGUAUAUUUGCUGUGGGAAGAGAUUGCAGCUACACCCAGCGAGACAUGCAAGGCACUCAGACAUGACACGUGCUUACAAAUCUCUUGUCGUGGAGGUAUAAUUUUCCAAAGACUGUAAGCAGAAGUUGGUGACUGAUUAGCAAAUGCACAUGGAGUCAGUCUUGGGAGGAAGGAGGCCGGUAGGCCCCAGCUGAAUGUCUCCAUUAGGAGCUUGGGGCUUUGAGCCAUAAACCUGGUGAACCAAUCUGUGGCGGGUGUCAUUUAUGUGUCGGCAAACACUCUUAGCGAGGUCUAGUUAUUGAUUUGGACAGUAUAAAAAGGCUGUUGUGCCACUUGUUCAGGUUUGCGCAGGUUUUAUGACUCUUGUUCUGAGGAGUGUCAAUCUGUUUGGUUUUGCCUUAUUCCCUCAGGUCUCUUGUUGACAUUGGCUGAGCUAAGUGGUGUGUAUCCAC
Non-coding RNA from Podarcis lilfordi (Lilford's wall lizard), 15364 nucleotides. Lineage: Eukaryota; Metazoa; Chordata; Lepidosauria; Squamata; Lacertidae. The record is from the annotation of a GenBank genome assembly.